Long non-coding RNA from Alligator sinensis (Chinese alligator), 252 nucleotides. RefSeq lists it as uncharacterized. The transcript has 3 exons. The record is from RefSeq and is a predicted model, not a curated record. Lineage: Eukaryota; Metazoa; Chordata; Crocodylia; Alligatoridae.
CAUACAACAGGAAGCCAGCCUCUUCUGCAUAAAGCCAGCUCAUGGGUCACCCCGGGUUACAACGCUACUUCAUACAUGAGAAUGUAGCCAGAUGAGUUGGAACACAGGAAACAGAGAGAAUAGAAGUAAUAUGCUGAUUAUUUCCCUCUCCCUCUGAUUGACUGCCUACCUCUCCGCGAACAGAUACAUGAACCAUCACAUCGAGCACAUCAGCUAUAAUCACUAAGGGCCUCCAUCUCUACUGCAUCCCCC